AGCAGCCGCGGUAAUUCCAGCUCCAAUAGCGUAUAUUAAAGUUGUUGCAGUUAAAAAGCUCGUAGUUGAAUUUCGGGAUCAGUUGGUCGGUCGUGCCUCGGUACGUACUGGUCAAAUUGAUUCCUACCUUCUGACGAACCACGAUGUCAUUAAUUUGGUGUCGCGGGAAAUCAGGACUGUUACUUUGAAAAAUUAGAGUGUUUAAAGCAGGCUCGCGCUUGAAUACAUUAGCAUGGAAUAAUGAAAUAGGACGUUUGAUUCUAUUUUGUUGGUUUCUAGGAUCGACGUAAUGAUUAAUAGGGAUAGUUGGGGGCAUUAGUAUUCAAUUGUCAGAGGUGAAAUUCUUGGAUUUAUUGAAGACUAACUACUGCGAAAGCAUUUGCCAAGGAUGUUUUCAUUAAUCAAGAACGAAAGUUAGGGGAUCGAAGACGAUCAGAUACCGUCGUAGUCUUAACCAUAAACUAUGCCGACUAGGGAUCGGAUGAUGUUAAUUUUUAAUGACUCAUUCGGCGCCUUAACC
Molecule: ribosomal RNA, 520 nt
Filed under: uncultured Glomus
Lineage: Eukaryota; Fungi; Glomeromycota; Glomeromycetes; Glomerales; Glomeraceae
Description: SSU rRNA
Rfam family: Eukaryotic small subunit ribosomal RNA
Source: RNAcentral